RNAcentral lists this ribosomal RNA (253 nucleotides) under uncultured bacterium. RNAcentral's name for it is "partial 16S ribosomal RNA". It matches the Rfam family "Bacterial small subunit ribosomal RNA", at positions 524 to 776 of the family's 1533-position model. The record is from RNAcentral.
UACGGAGGGAGCUAGCGUUGUUCGGAAUUACUGGGCGUAAAGCGCACGUAGGCGGCUUUGUAAGUUAGAGGUGAAAGCCCGGGGCUCAACUCCGGAACUGCCUUUAAGACUGCAUCGCUUGAAUCCAGGAGAGGUGAGUGGAAUUCCGAGUGUAGAGGUGAAAUUCGUAGAUAUUCGGAAGAACACCGGUGGCGAAGGCGGCCAACUGGACGGUGACUGACGCUGAGACGCGAAAACGUGGGGAGCAAACAGG